GGGUUGUGAGGUUAAGCGACUAAGCGUACACGGUGGAUGCCCUGGCAGUCAGAGGCGAUGAAGGACGUGCUAAUCUGCGAAAAGCGUCGGUAAGGUGAUAUGAACCGUUAUAACCGGCGAUGUCCGAAUGGGGAAACCCAGUGCAAUUCGUUGCACUAUCGUUAACUGAAUACAUAGGUUAACGAGGCGAACCGGGGAACUGAAACAUCUAAGUACCCCGAGGAAAAGAAAUCAACCGAGAUUCCCCAGUAGCGGCGAGCGAACGGGGAGCAGCCCAGAGUCUGAAUCAGCUUGUGUGUUAGUGGAACGGUCUGGAAAGUCCGACGGUACAGGGUGAUAGUCCCGUACACCAAAAUGCACAGGCUGUGAACUCGAAGAGUAGGGCGGGACACGUGGUAUCCUGUCUGAAUAUGGGGGGACCAUCCUCCAAGGCUAAAUACUCCUGACUGACCGAUAGUGAACCAGUACCGUGAGGGAAAGGCGAAAAGAACCCCGGCGAGGGAGUGAAAAGAACCUGAAACCGUGUACGUACAAGCAGUGGGAGCACCUUCGGGUGUGACUGCGUACCUUUGUAUAAUGGGUCAGCGACUUAUAUUCUGUAGCAAGGUUAACCGUAUAGGGAGCCGCAGGAAACCGAGUCUUAACUGGGCGUUAAGUUGCAGGGUAUAGACCCGAAACCCGGUGAUCUAGCCAUGGGCAGGUUGAAGGUUGGGUAACACUAACUGGAGGACCGAACCGACUAAUGUUGAAAAAUUAGCGGAUGACUUGUGGCUGGGGGUGAAAGGCCAAUCAAACCGGGAGAUAGCUGGUUCUCCCCGAAAGCUAUUUAGGUAGCGCCUCGUGAACUCAUCUUCGGGGGUAGAGCACUGUUUCGGCUAGGGGUCAUCCCGACUUACCAACCCGAUGCAAACUACGAAUACCGAAGAAUGUUAUCACGGGAGACACACGGCGGGUGCUAACGUCCGUCGUGAAGAGGAAACAACCCAGACCGCCAGCUAAGGUCCCAAAGUCAUGGUUAAGUGGGAAACGAUGUGGGAAGGCACAGACAGCCAGGAUGUUGGCUUAGAAGCAGCCAUCAUUUAAAGAAAGCGUAAUAGCUCACUGGUCGAGUCGGCCUGCGCGGAAGAUGUAACGGGGCUAAACCAUGCACCGAAGCUGCGGCAGCGACACUAUGUGUUGUUGGGUAGGGGAGCGUUCUGUAAGCCUGCGAAGGUGUGCUGUGAGGCAUGCUGGAGGUAUCAGAAGUGCGAAUGCUGACAUAAGUAACGAUAAAGCGGGUGAAAAGCCCGCUCGCCGGAAGACCAAGGGUUCCUGUCCAACGUUAAUCGGGGCAGGGUGAGUCGACCCUAAGGCGAGGCCGAAAGGCGUAGUCGAUGGGAAACAGGUUAAUAUUCCUGUACUUGGUGUUACUGCGAAGGGGACGGAGAAGGCUAUGUUAGCCGGGCGACGGUUGUCCCGGUUUAAGCAUGUAGGCUGGUUGUCGGGCAAAUCCGGAUAAUCAAGGCUGAGGUGUGAUGACGAGGCACUACGGUGCUGAAGUAACAAAUGCCCUGCUUCCGGGAAAAGCCUCUAAGCAUCAGGUAACAUCAAAUCGUACCCCAAACCGACACAGGUGGUCAGGUAGAGAAUACCAAGGCGCUUGAGAGAACUCGGGUGAAGGAACUAGGCAAAAUGGUGCCGUAACUUCGGGAGAAGGCACGCUGGUGUGUAGGUGAAGUCCCUGCGGAUGGAGCUGAGACCAGUCGAAGAUACCAGCUGGCUGCAACUGUUUAUUAAAAACACAGCACUGUGCAAACACGAAAGUGGACGUAUACGGUGUGACGCCUGCCCGGUGCCGGAAGGUUAAUUGAUGGGGUUAUCCGUAAGGAGAAGCUCUUGAUCGAAGCCCCGGUAAACGGCGGCCGUAACUAUAACGGUCCUAAGGUAGCGAAAUUCCUUGUCGGGUAAGUUCCGACCUGCACGAAUGGCGUAAUGAUGGCGGGCUGUCUCCACCCGAGACUCAGUGAAAUUGAACUCGCUGUGAAGAUGCAGUGUACCCGCGGCAAGACGGAAAGACCCCGUGAACCUUUACUAUAGCUUGACACUGAACAUUGAGCCUUGAUGUGUAGGAUAGGUGGGAGGCUUUGAAGCGUGGACGCCAGUCUGCGUGGAGCCAACCUUGAAAUACCACCCUUUAAUGUUUGAUGUUCUAACGUUGGCCCUUACCGGGGUUGCGGACAGUGUCUGGUGGGUAGUUUGACUGGGGCGGUCUCCUCCCAAAGCGUAACGGAGGAGCACGAAGGUUAGCUAAUCCUGGUCGGACAUCAGGAGGUUAGUGCAAUGGCAUAAGCUAGCUUGACUGCGAGCGUGACGGCGCGAGCAGGUGCGAAAGCAGGUCAUAGUGAUCCGGUGGUUCUGAAUGGAAGGGCCAUCGCUCAACGGAUAAAAGGUACUCCGGGGAUAACAGGCUGAUACCGCCCAAGAGUUCAUAUCGACGGCGGUGUUUGGCACCUCGAUGUCGGCUCAUCACAUCCUGGGGCUGAAGUAGGUCCCAAGGGUAUGGCUGUUCGCCAUUUAAAGUGGUACGCGAGCUGGGUUUAGAACGUCGUGAGACAGUUCGGUCCCUAUCUGCCGUGGGCGCUGGAGAAUUGAGGGGCUGCUCCUAGUACGAGAGGACCGGAGUGGACGCAUCACUGGUGUUCGGGUUGUCAUGCCAAUGGCACUGCCCGGUAGCUAAAUGCGGAAGAGAUAAGUGCUGAAAGCAUCUAAGCACGAAACUUGCCCCGAGAUGAGUUCUCCCUGAGACUUUAAGUCUCCUGAAGGAACGUUAAAGACGAUGACGUUGAUAGGCCGGGUGUGUAAGCGCAGCGAUGCGUUGAGCUAACCGGUACUAAUGAACCGUGAGGCUUAACCUUACAACGCCGAAG
RNAcentral lists this ribosomal RNA (2906 nucleotides) under Klebsiella pneumoniae. RNAcentral describes it as "23S ribosomal RNA". It matches the Rfam family "Bacterial large subunit ribosomal RNA". The record is from RNAcentral. Lineage: Bacteria; Pseudomonadati; Pseudomonadota; Gammaproteobacteria; Enterobacterales; Enterobacteriaceae.